RNAcentral lists this ribosomal RNA (251 nucleotides) under uncultured bacterium. Its description in RNAcentral is "partial 16S ribosomal RNA". It matches the Rfam family "Bacterial small subunit ribosomal RNA", at positions 524 to 776 of the family's 1533-position model. The record is from RNAcentral.
UACGUAGGGGGCAAGCGUUGUCCGGAUUUAUUGGGCGUAAAGAGCGUGUAGGCGGCCAGACAGGUCCGCUGUGAAAACUCGAGGCUCAACCUCGAGAUGUCGGUGGAAACCGUCUGGCUAGAGUCCGGAAGAGGAGAGUGGAAUUCCCGGUGUAGCGGUGAAAUGCGCAGAUAUCGGGAAGAACACCCGUGGCGAAGGCGGCUCUGGGCCACUACUGACGCUGAGAAGCGAAAGCAUGGGGAGCGAACAGG